UAACAAGGAUUCCCCUAGUAACUGCGAGUGAAGCGGGAAAAGCUCAAAUUUAAAAUCUGGCGGUCUUUGGCCGUCCGAGUUGUAGUCUGGAGAAGUGCUUUCCGCGCUGGACCGUGUAUAAGUCUCUUGGAACAGAGCGUCAUAAAGGGUGAGAAUCCCGUCUUUGACACGGACUACCAGUGCUUUGUGAUGCGCUCUCAAAGAGUCGAGUUGUUUGGGAAUGCAGCUCAAAAUGGGUGGUGAAUUCCAUCUAAAGCUAAAUAUUGGCGAGAGACCGAUAGCGAACAAGUACCGUGAGGGAAAGAUGAAAAGCACUUUGGAAAGAGAGUUAAACAGUACGUGAAAUUGCUGAAAGGGAAACACUUGAAGUCAGUCGCGUCUGCCGGAACUCAGCCUUCCUUUUGGUUGGUGCACUUUCUGGUAGACGGGCCAGCAUCGAUUUUGACCGUUGGAUAAGGGCUGGAGAAAUGUGGCACCUUCGGGUGGGUUAUAGUCUUCAGUCGCAUACAACGGUUGGGAUCGAGGAUCGCAGCGCGCCGCAAGGCAGGGGUUCGCCCACUUUCGCGCUUAAGAUGCUGGCAUAAUGGCUUUAAAUGACCCGUCU
RNAcentral lists this ribosomal RNA (604 nucleotides) under Lentinus squarrosulus. Its description in RNAcentral is "LSU rRNA". It matches the Rfam family "Eukaryotic large subunit ribosomal RNA", at positions 66 to 654 of the family's 3401-position model. Lineage: Eukaryota; Fungi; Basidiomycota; Agaricomycetes; Polyporales; Polyporaceae. The record is from RNAcentral.